AGAGUUUGAUCCUGGCUCAGGAUGAACGCUAGCGACAGGCCUAACACAUGCAAGUCGAGGGGCAGCAUAAGCAAAGCUUGCUUUGUUUGAUGGCGACCGGCGCACGGGUGAGUAACACGUAUGCAACCUAGCUUUUACAAGGGGAUAGUCUUUAGAAAUGGAGAAUAAUACCUUAUAACACUUAUAUGUCGCAUGACAAAUAAGUUAAAGUUACGGCGGUAGAAGAUGGGCAUGCGUCUGAUUAGUUAGUUGGUGAGGUAACGGCUCACCAAGGCGACGAUCAGUAGGGGUUCUGCANGGAAGGUCCCCCACAUUGGUNCUGAGNCAGGAUCAAACU
RNAcentral lists this ribosomal RNA (337 nucleotides) under uncultured bacterium. RNAcentral describes it as "bacterial SSU rRNA". It matches the Rfam family "Bacterial small subunit ribosomal RNA", at positions 8 to 337 of the family's 1533-position model. The record is from RNAcentral.